This 678-nucleotide ribosomal RNA is filed under the name Debaryomyces hansenii. Its description in RNAcentral is "LSU rRNA". The stretch from base 1 to 584 matches the Rfam family "Eukaryotic large subunit ribosomal RNA", at positions 65 to 664 of the family's 3401-position model. Lineage: Eukaryota; Fungi; Ascomycota; Pichiomycetes; Serinales; Debaryomycetaceae. The record is from RNAcentral.
UCUCGGGGGAAUGACGUUAGUACGGCGAGUGAAGCGGCAAAAGCUCAAAUUUGAAAUCUGGCACCUUCGGUGUCCGAGUUGUAAUUUGAAGAAGGUAACUUUGGAGUUGGCUCUUGUCUAUGUUCCUUGGAACAGGACGUCACAGAGGGUGAGAAUCCCGUGCGAUGAGAUGCCCAAUUCUAUGUAAAGUGCUUUCGAAGAGUCGAGUUGUUUGGGAAUGCAGCUCUAAGUGGGUGGUAAAUUCCAUCUAAAGCUAAAUAUUGGCGAGAGACCGAUAGCGAACAAGUACAGUGAUGGAAAGAUGAAAAGAACUUUGAAAAGAGAGUGAAAAAGUACGUGAAAUUGUUGAAAGGGAAGGGCUUGAGAUCAGACUUGGUAUUUUGCGAUCCUUUCCUUCUUGGUUGGGUUCCUCGCAGCUUACUGGGCCAGCAUCGGUUUGGAUGGUAGGAUAAUGACUAAGGAAUGUGGCUCUACUUCGGUGGAGUGUUAUAGCCUUGGUUGAUACUGCCUGUCUAGACCGAGGACUGCGUCUUUUGACUAGGAUGUUGGCAUAAUGAUCUUAAGCCACCCGUCUUAAAAAAAGGGAACAAAAACCAAAGAAUUAAAUUUGGGGUGGCCAUAAGCACCCGAAGGAAAAAAUAUCUUCUUUUUUUAUUUUUCAUAGCUUAUGCAAAACUU